This 72-nucleotide transfer RNA is filed under the name Sirembo imberbis (golden cusk). RNAcentral's name for it is "tRNA-Trp". It matches the Rfam family "tRNA". From Rfam's summary of the family: Transfer RNA (tRNA) molecules are approximately 80 nucleotides in length. Their secondary structure includes four short double-helical elements and three loops (D, anti-codon, and T loops). Further hydrogen bonds mediate the characteristic L-shaped molecular structure. tRNAs have two regions of fundamental functional importance: the anti-codon, which is responsible for specific mRNA codon recognition, and the 3' end, to which the tRNAs corresponding amino acid is attached (by aminoacyl-tRNA synthetases). tRNAs cope with the degeneracy of the genetic code in two manners: having more than one tRNA (with a specific anti-codon) for a particular amino acid; and 'wobble' base-pairing, i.e. permitting non-standard base-pairing at the 3rd anti-codon position. The record is from RNAcentral. Lineage: Eukaryota; Metazoa; Chordata; Actinopteri; Ophidiiformes; Ophidiidae.
AGGGACUUAGGAUACGAGCAAGACCAAGGGCCUUCAAAGCCCUCAGCGGGAGUGAGAACCUCCCAGUCCCUG